This is a non-coding RNA of Aspergillus tanneri, 101 nucleotides long. NCBI's taxonomy places the organism in Eukaryota, Fungi, Ascomycota, Eurotiomycetes, Eurotiales, Aspergillaceae. The record is from the annotation of a RefSeq genome assembly.
GGGGUGAUAGCUCAGUUGGGAGAGCGCACGACUGAAGUACACUUCAAUCUGCAUUCUCAUAUGCUAUCGUGAGGUCACCGGUUCAAUCCCGGUUCAUCCCA